This is a small nucleolar RNA of Trichechus manatus latirostris (Florida manatee), 129 nucleotides long. RefSeq annotates it as small nucleolar RNA SNORA11. The transcript has a single exon. NCBI's taxonomy places the organism in Eukaryota, Metazoa, Chordata, Mammalia, Sirenia, Trichechidae. The record is from RefSeq and is a predicted model, not a curated record.
GGGAUGUGCUCAGAGCCAGGGACCUGCAGAAUUGGUUCUCUGUUUAAAAUAUAUCCAACAGUAAUUUGGGUUUACUCCUCAUAUGUGUCAGGGUAUUUUGGCCUUCCUGUGACUUCAUAACCUGCACAU